UCUAUGGAAAGCCGGUGAACCAGGGUAUCACUCAGCUGAAGGCCGCCCGCAACCUGCGCAGCGUUGCAGAGGAGCGUGUUGGUCGCAAGUGCGGCGGCCUGCGUGUCCUGAACUCGUACUGGGUGAACCAGGUAGGAACAGACUGGUGACGAUUCAGUUGGAUCAUUUUGUCUUAACCCCUUGGGUGCCCGGCACAGGACUCCUGCUACAAGUACUUCGAGGUCAUCCUCGUGGACCCGGCGCAUACCACCAUUCGCAACGUGAGCGAAGGGGAGGGGUCUGGAAGGGGUGGUAUUCUAAUGCUGCUGGACCUUGCGGAGGAGCUGUGAUUGGUCGAAGGGGGCUGGGGAACACAUUGCAGGCAAGGGUAUCAAGGUCGAAUAUGCAUUAUACAGCUCAAAAGGGUAGAGCCCUAUACGGCUCCAGGACAGAAGGGUACCUGUCCUAUAUUGGUCCCUUAUUGGAUUUGCUAUUUCCGCAGGAUGCGCGCAUCAACUGGUUGUGCAACCCGGUGCACAAGCACCGCGAGCUGCGCGGCCUGACCUCUGCCGGCAAGCAUUACCGCGGCCUGCGCGCCAAGGGCCACAAGGCCAGCAAGACCCGCCCCUCGAAGAGGGCCAGCUGGAAGCGCCGCAACUCGCUGUCGCUGCGCCGCUUCCGCUA
This 663-nucleotide long non-coding RNA is filed under the name Volvox carteri. RNAcentral's name for it is "long non-coding RNA (VCAR_LNC000175)". Lineage: Eukaryota; Viridiplantae; Chlorophyta; Chlorophyceae; Chlamydomonadales; Volvocaceae. The record is from RNAcentral.